UACAGAGGGUGCGAGCGUUAAUCGGAAUUACUGGGCGUAAAGCGCACGUAGGUGGCGACGUAAGUCGGGUGUGAAAGCCCCGGGCUCAACCUGGGAAUUGCAUUCGAGACUGCAUUGCUGGAGUACGGAAGAGGAAGGCGGAAUUCCCGGUGUAGCGGUGAAAUGCGUAGAUAUCGGGAGGAACAUCAGUGGCGAAGGUGGCCUUCUGGUCCAGUACUGACACUCAAGUGCGAAAGCGUGGGGAGCAAACAGG
Molecule: ribosomal RNA, 253 nt
Filed under: uncultured bacterium
Lineage: Bacteria
Description: partial 16S ribosomal RNA
Rfam family: Bacterial small subunit ribosomal RNA
Source: RNAcentral